UUACAAUACCUGGCAGAGGAGAUACCAUGAUCACAAAGGUGGUUUUCCCAGAGUGAGGCUUAUCCAUUGCACUCCAGAUGUGCUGACUCUUGUGAUUUCCUCAAAUGGGAAAACUUGACUGCAUAAUUGAUAGUAAUGAGGGGACUGUGCUUGCACUUUUCCUUA
This 165-nucleotide small nuclear RNA is filed under the name Carlito syrichta (Philippine tarsier). Its description in RNAcentral is "U1 spliceosomal RNA (ENSTSYG00000028700.1)". It matches the Rfam family "U1 spliceosomal RNA". Rfam says of the family: U1 is a small nuclear RNA (snRNA) component of the spliceosome (involved in pre-mRNA splicing). Lineage: Eukaryota; Metazoa; Chordata; Mammalia; Primates; Tarsiidae. The record is from Rfam by way of RNAcentral.